This 73-nucleotide transfer RNA is filed under the name Paramuricea clavata. It matches the Rfam family "tRNA". From Rfam's summary of the family: Transfer RNA (tRNA) molecules are approximately 80 nucleotides in length. Their secondary structure includes four short double-helical elements and three loops (D, anti-codon, and T loops). The record is from Rfam by way of RNAcentral. Lineage: Eukaryota; Metazoa; Cnidaria; Anthozoa; Malacalcyonacea; Plexauridae.
GACCGCGUAGCUCAGUUGGCAGAGUAUUGGCCUAGUAUUCCAAAGGUCGUAGGUUCGAUUCCCACCGUGGUCA